This 484-nucleotide ribosomal RNA is filed under the name uncultured bacterium. Its description in RNAcentral is "partial 16S ribosomal RNA". It matches the Rfam family "Bacterial small subunit ribosomal RNA", at positions 30 to 507 of the family's 1533-position model. The record is from RNAcentral.
AUUGAACGCUGGCGGCAUGCUUUACACAUGCAAGUCGAACGGCAGCGCGGGCUUCGGCCUGGCGGCGAGUGGCGAACGGGUGAGUAAUACAUCGGAACGUGCCCAGUAGUGGGGGAUAGCUCGGCGAAAGCCGGAUUAAUACCGCAUACGACCUGAGGGUGAAAGCGGGGGAUCUUCGGACCUCGCGCUAUUUGAGCGGCCGAUGGCAGAUUAGCUAGUUGGUUGGGUAAAGGCCUACCAAGGCGACGAUCUGUAGCUGGUCUGAGAGGACGACCAGCCACACUGGGACUGAGACACGGCCCAGACUCCUACGGGAGGCAGCAGUGGGGAAUUUUGGACAAUGGGCGAAAGCCUGAUCCAGCAAUGCCGCGUGUGUGAUGAAGGCCUUCGGGUUGUAAAGCACUUUUGGCGGGAACGAAAAGGACUGUGCCAAUACCACGGUUCGAUGACGGUACCCGCAGAAUAAGCACCGGCUAACUACGUG